Molecule: ribosomal RNA, 428 nt
Filed under: uncultured bacterium
Lineage: Bacteria
Description: bacterial SSU rRNA
Rfam family: Bacterial small subunit ribosomal RNA
Source: RNAcentral
GUGGGGAAUAUUGCGCAAUGGGGGGAACCCUGACGCAGCAACGCCGCGUGAGUGAAGAAGGUCUUCGGAUCGUAAAACUCUGUCAUCGGGGACGAAGUAAGUGACGGUACCCGGAGAGGAAGCCCCGGCUAACUACGUGCCAGCAGCCGCGGUAAUACGUAGGGGGCGAGCGUUGUCCGGAAUUACUGGGCGUAAAGGGUGCGUAGGCGGUAUGUUAAGUCAGAUGUGAAAUACCAUGGCUCAACUGUGGUAUUGCAUUUGAAACUGGCAUGCUAGAGUGCAGGAGAGGGAAGUGGAAUUCCUAGUGUAGCGGUGAAAUGCGUAGAGAUUAGGAGGAACACCAGUGGCGAAGGCGGCUUCCUGGCCUGUAACUGACGCUGAGGCACGAAAGCGUGGGGAGCAAACAGGAUUAGAAACCCGUGUAGUCC